GAUGAACGCUAGCGGCAGGCUUAAUACAUGCAAGUCGAGGGGCAGCACGGGUAGCAAUACCUGGUGGCGACCGGCAAACGGGUGCGGAACACGUACAGAACCUUCCUUCAAGUGGGCAUAGCCCAGAGAAAUUUGGAUUAAUACCCCGUAAUAUUAUGAGUUGGCAUCAGCUUAUAAUUAUAGAUUUAUCGCUUGAAGAUGGCUGUGCGGCUGAUUAGGUAGUUGGCGGGGUAACGGCCCACCAAGCCUGCGAUCAGUAACUGGUGUGAGAGCACGACCAGUCACACGGGCACUGAGACACGGGCCCGACUCCUACGGGAGGCAGCAGUAAGGAAUAUUGGUCAAUGGACGCAAGUCUGAACCAGCCAUGCCGCGUGAAGGAUGAAGGUCCUCUGGAUUGUAAACUUCUUUUAUCUGGGACGAAACCCUCGAAUUCUUUCGGGAUUGACGGUACCAGAGGAAUAAGCACCGGCUAACUCCGUGCCAGCAGCCGCAGUAAAAC
This 502-nucleotide ribosomal RNA is filed under the name uncultured bacterium. Its description in RNAcentral is "bacterial SSU rRNA". It matches the Rfam family "Bacterial small subunit ribosomal RNA", at positions 28 to 526 of the family's 1533-position model. The record is from RNAcentral.